RNAcentral lists this long non-coding RNA (1479 nucleotides) under Homo sapiens (human). Its description in RNAcentral is "non-protein coding lnc-ACVR1-2:1". Lineage: Eukaryota; Metazoa; Chordata; Mammalia; Primates; Hominidae. The record is from RNAcentral.
AUGGCGGCCAACAUGUACCAGGUAGGAGAUUUUGUCUACUUUGAGAAUUCCUCCAGCAAUCCAUAAAUAAUCAGGAUAGAAAAUCUCGACAAGACUGCAAGUGGCAACAUGGAAGCAAAAGUAGUAUGCUUUUACAGAUUACAUGAUAUUUUUAACACACUGAUAAUGCUUGUGGAGAAGCAUGCUAAAGAAAUUGAGGAAGAAUCUGAAACAAUAGUUGACCCUUACUUGACCAAUACUCAGAAACAUCAAUCAAAACAUAAGUUACUUUCUUUGUUACCCCAAUAUGAAUCUUUGCCUUCAACACAUAUUAGGGGAAAAUGCAGUGUUGGCUUAUGAAUGAGACAGAAUCAGUAUUGUCAUAUCUUCAUAAAAAGGAUACUUUCUUCUACUUAUUGAUCAUGACCCCUCAUCGAAAACACUAUUAGCUGAUGAAGGUGAAUUCAGAAUGGGACCUAGAUAUCAAGUAGAUGUCCCAGAAAUGCUCAUAGAAGGAGAAUCAGAUGAGAGGGAGCAGUGAAAAUGGAAAGUUAAAGUUUGGGGAUCCAAAUAGCCCACUUAAAGAUUGAUCAAUUAACCAGUUUUUAAUUGUAGCAAGUGCUAUUGGGACACUCCCUAGACCUCUCGAUUGCAGCAGUUCUUUGAGGCAGCCUAGUUUGCAUAUGAGUGCUGCUGCAGCUUCCCAAGACAUCACCUUCUUUCAUGCUAUCAAUACAUUGCGUAGACAUAGCUAUGAUUUGAGCAGUGCAAUUAGUGUCUCAGUACCACUUGCAGAAGCUGUUUUAUGCAGAGAUAAAUUGGAAGAAUGGUCAGCCUCUUAAGCUAGCUUAUUCGAAGAGGUACUGGAAAAAAUAUGGCAAAGACUUCAACGACAUAUGCCAAAACUUUUUCCCUUGGAAAUCAUUGACUAGCAUCACUGAAUGUUAUUUCUUGUGGAGAACUACUGACAGAUAUGUGCAACAGAAAUGGUUAAAAGCAGCAGAAACUGAGAGUAAGCUGAAACAAGUAUAUAUCCCAAUUUACAGGAAACCAAAUCCCAACCAAAUAUCUACCAGCAAUGGCAAGCCUGGUGCUAUGAGUGAAACCAUGAGGUUGACAUUCCUGCCUCAGAAUCCCCUUGUAGUGCAAGCCUGGGAGGGCUGCUGUGCUACACAGUCUAACCAGUAGUAUUCUUGGGGCCCACCUAAUAUGCAGUGCAAUUUGUUGGCUUUAUUGAGAAAAAUAUGGAGACCUGAAAAUGCCCACCCAGUCAGAAGAAAAGUUAUCUCCUAGCCCAAUUACAGAGGACUCUCAUGUUAGAAAUGCUGCCAGGCCAUUCAAGGGAUGCCACUCCAAAACACUGUCAGUACAAAGUCUGCAGUGAAAACUCACCAAGCUUUCUUCCUUCAUACUGUGUUUUUCACAAAAUUUGCUCUCCAUUUAUUCAAAAGUAUCCUCUGGCUGAAGCAGGCAGCAAGAUGGCCACUUGUAGCUAUUAAU